AGGGUUUGAUUAUGGCUCAGGAUGAACGCUAGCAGCAGGCUUAACACAUGCAAGUCGAGGGGUAACAGGGAUUGCUUGCAAUCCACUGACGACCGGCGCACGGGUGCGUAACGCGUAUGCAACCUACCUUUUACAAGGGGAUAGCCCAGAGAAAUUUGGAAUAAUACCCUAUACGAUCAUUAAUUGGCAUCAAUUUAUGAAGAAAACUCCGGUGGUAAAAGAUGGGCAUGCGUCCUAUUAGUUAGUUGGUAAGGUAAUGGCUUACCAAGACUUCGAUAGGUAGGGGUCCUGAGAGGGAGAUCCCCCACACUGGUACUGAGACACGGACCAGACUCCUACGGGAGGCAGCAGUGAGGAAUAUUGGACAAUGGAGGCAACUCUGAUCCAGCCAUGCCGCGUGCAGGAAGACGGCCCUACGGGUUGUAAACUGCUUUUAUACAGGAAGAACUAUAUCUACGUGUAGAUAUUUGACGGUACUGUACGAAUAAGGAUCGGCUAACUCCGUGCCAGCCGCCGCGGUAAUAC
This 525-nucleotide ribosomal RNA is filed under the name uncultured bacterium. Its description in RNAcentral is "bacterial SSU rRNA". It matches the Rfam family "Bacterial small subunit ribosomal RNA", at positions 8 to 526 of the family's 1533-position model. The record is from RNAcentral.